RNAcentral lists this ribosomal RNA (558 nucleotides) under Hansenula anomala. Its description in RNAcentral is "eukaryotic LSU rRNA". It matches the Rfam family "Eukaryotic large subunit ribosomal RNA", at positions 85 to 657 of the family's 3401-position model. Lineage: Eukaryota; Fungi; Ascomycota; Saccharomycetes; Phaffomycetales; Wickerhamomycetaceae. The record is from RNAcentral. RNAcentral also lists the same sequence under 2 other names.
UACGGCGAGUGAGCGGCAAAAGCUCAAAUUUGAAAUCUAGCACCUUCGGUGUUCGAGUUGUAAUUUGAAGAUGGUAACCUUGGGUUUGGCUCUUGUCUAUGUUCCUUGGAACAGGACGUCAUAGAGGGUGAGAAUCCCGUCUGAUGAGAUGCCCAUUCCUAUGUAAGGUGCUAUCGAAGAGUCGAGUUGUUUGGGAAUGCAGCUCUAAGUGGGUGGUAAAUUCCAUCUAAAGCUAAAUAUUGGCGAGAGACCGAUAGCGAACAAGUACAGUGAUGGAAAGAUGAAAAGAACUUUGAAAAGAGAGUGAAAAAGUACGUGAAAUUGUUGAAAGGGAAGGGCAUUAGAUCAGACUUGGUGUUUUACGAUUAUCUUCUCUUCUUGAGUUGUGCACUCGUAUUUCACUGGGCCAGCAUCGAUUCGGAUGGCAAGAUAAUGGCAGUUGAAUGUGGCUUCACUUCGGUGGAGUGUUAUAGCUUCUGCUGAUAUUGCCUGUCUGGAUCGAGGGCUGCGUCUUUUGACUAGGAUGCUGGCGUAAUGAUCUAAUGCCGCCCGUCUUGA